RNAcentral lists this ribosomal RNA (305 nucleotides) under uncultured bacterium. Its description in RNAcentral is "bacterial SSU rRNA". It matches the Rfam family "Bacterial small subunit ribosomal RNA", at positions 333 to 656 of the family's 1533-position model. The record is from RNAcentral.
GUAUCCCUACGGGGGCAGCAGUAGGGAAUAUUGCUCAAUGGGGGAAACCCUGAAGCAGCAACGCCGCGUGGAGGAUGAAGGUUUUCGGAUUGUAAACUCCUUUUGUUAGAGAAGAUAAUGACGGUAUCUAACGAAUAAGCACCGGCUAACUCCGUGCCAGCAGCAGCGGUAAUACGGAGGGUGCAAGCGUUACUCGGAAUCACUGGGCGUAAAGAGCGCGUAGGCGGGAUAGCAAGUCAGAUGUGAAAUCCUAUGGCUUAACCAUAGAACUGCAUUUGAAACUGCUAUUCUAGAGUAUGGGAGAG